GGUCAAGCUACAAAGGGCGCAUGGUGAAUGCCUUGGCAUCAGGAGCCGAUGAAGGACGUGAUAAGCUGCGAUAAGCUUCGGGUAGGCGCACAUAGCCUGAGAUCCGAAGAUCUCCGAAUGAGGAAACUCACAUGGGAAACCCCAUGUAUCAUUAAGUGAAUACAUAGCUUAAUGAAGGUAACCCAGGGAACUGAAACAUCUAAGUACCUGGAGGAAGAGAAAGAAAAAUCGAUUUUCUUAGUAGCGGCGAGCGAAAGGGAAAGAGCCCAAACCGGAAACUUGUUUCCGGGGUUGUGGACAUAACAUAAAAGUGGAGGCUAUUGUAACUGAAGAGAACUGGAAAGUUCCACCGUAGAAGGUAAUAGUCCUGUAAGUGAAACGAGAAGACCACGAGUUAUGAUCCAGAGUACCACGAGACACGUGAAACCUUGUGGGAAGCAGGGAGGACCACCUCCCAAGGCUAAAUACUACCUGAUGACCGAUAGUGAAGCAGUACCGUGAGGGAAAGGUGAAAAGAACCCCGGGAGGGGAGUGAAAUAGAACCUGAAACCGUGUGCCUACAACCGCUCAGAGCCCCUUAUGAGGGUGAUGAGGUGCUUUUUGUAGAACGAGCCAACGAGUUACGGUAUGUAGCAAGGUUAAGUACUUAAGGUACGGAGCCGAAGGGAAACCGAGUCUGAAUAGGGCGACUAGUUGCAUGCCGUAGACCCGAAACCGGGUGACCUAUCCAUGGCCAGGUUGAAGCGAGGGUAAAACCUCGUGGAGGACCGAACCACGUUGCUGUUGAAAAAGCAUGGGAUGAGCUGUGGAUAGCGGAGAAAUUCCAAUCGAACCCGGAGAUAGCUGGUUCUCUCCGAAAUAGCUUUAGGGCUAGCGUCGAGUAUGAGUAGUGGAGGUAGAGCACUGAAUGGGCUAGGGGGCAUAGCGCUUACCGAACCUUAUCAAACUCCGAAUGCCACAUACUUUGAGCUCGGCAGUCAGACUACGAAUGAUAAGAUCCGUGGUCAAAAGGGAAACAGCCCAGAUCGUCAGCUAAGGUCCCAAAGUGUAAGUUAAGUGGGAAAGGAUGUGAGAUUUCUAAGACAACUAGGAUGUUGGCUUAGAAGCAGCCAUUCAUUAAAAGAGUGCGUAAUAGCUCACUAGUCGAGAGAUCUUGCGCCGAAAAUGUAACGGGGCUAAACUUACCACCGAAGCUACGGGCUUGAACUUAGUUCAAGCGGUAGGAGAGCGUCGUAACCGGGCUGAAGUCGUACCGUAAGGAGCGGUGGACUGGUUACGAGUGAGAAUGUUGGCAUCAGUAGCGAGAUGUGGGUGAGAAUCCCACAGGCCGAAAACCUAAGGUUUCCUCAGGAAGGUUCGUCCGCUGAGGGUUAGUCGGGACCUAAGCCGAGGCCGAAAGGCGUAGGUGAUGGACAACUGGUUGAUAUUCCAGUACCACUACCAUCGUUAUUAUCGAUGGCGUGACGCAGGAGGAUAGUGUGUGCUAGCUAUUGGAUGCUAGUCUAAGCGUUUAGGCAGUGAGAGUAGGCAAAUCCGCUCUCAUAAUGCUGAGGCGUGAUGGGGAAGGUUCUACGGAACCGAAGUACAUGAUUCCACGCUGCCAAGAAAAGCGUCUAGAGAGAGAAGUAGUGCCCGUACCGCAAACCGACACAGGUAGGUGAGGAGAGAAUCCUAAGGCCGGCGGAAGAAUUACAGUUAAGGAACUCGGCAAAUUGACCCCGUAAGUUCGCGAGAAGGGGUGCCUACGAGAGUAGGCCGCAGAGAAUAGGCCCAAGCAACUGUUUAGCAAAAACACAGGUCUCUGCUAAAGCGUAAGCUGAUGUAUAGGGGCUGACGCCUGCCCGGUGCUGGAAGGUUAAGGGGAACACUUAGCGCAAGCGAAGGUGUGAACUUAAGCCCCAGUAAACGGCGGCCGUAACUAUAACGGUCCUAAGGUAGCGAAAUUCCUUGUCAGGUAAGUUCUGACCCGCACGAAUGGCGUAAUGACUUGGGCACUGUCUCAACUGUAAAUCCGGCGAAGUUGUAGUGCGAGUGAAGAUGCUCGCUACCCGCGAUUGGACGGAAAGACCCCGUAGAGCUUUACUGUAGCUUAGCAUUGAGUUUUGGUAUUGUCUGUACAGGAUAGGUGGGAGACUAGGAAACCAGGGCGUCAGCCUUGGUGGAGUCAACCUUGGGAUACCACCCUGACAGUACUGAAAUUCUAACUGGCGGCCAUGAAUCUGGUCACAGGACAUUGUUAGGUGGGCAGUUUGACUGGGGCGGUCGCCUCCUAAAAAGUAACGGAGGCGCCCAAAGGUUCCCUCAGAACGGUCGGAAAUCGUUCGAAGAGUGCAAAGGCAGAAGGGAGCCUGACUGCGACACCCACAAGUGGAGCAGGGACGAAAGUCGGGCUUAGUGAUCCGGUGGUACCUCGUGGGAGGGCCAUCGCUCAACGGAUAAAAGCUACCUCGGGGAUAACAGGCUGAUCUCCCCCAAGAGUCCACAUCGACGGGGAGGUUUGGCACCUCGAUGUCGGCUCGUCGCAUCCUGGGGCUGAAGUAGGUCCCAAGGGUUGGGCUGUUCGCCCAUUAAAGCGGCACGCGAGCUGGGUUCAGAACGUCGUGAGACAGUUCGGUCCCUAUCCGUCGCGGGCGUAGGAAAUUUGAGAGGAGCUGUCCUUAGUACGAGAGGACCGGGAUGGACUGACCUCUGGUGUACCAGUUGUUCCGCCAGGAGCACAGCUGGGUAGCUAAGUCGGGAAUGGAUAAACGCUGAAAGCAUCUAAGCGUGAAGCCAACCUCAAGAUGAUAUUUCCCAUAGCGUAAGCUAGUAAGAUCCCUUGAAGAACACAAGGUUGAUAGGUCGGGGGUGUAAGCAUGGUAACAUGUUCAGCUGACCGAUACUAAUAGAUCGAGGGCUUGACCAA
RNAcentral lists this ribosomal RNA (2905 nucleotides) under Clostridium perfringens. RNAcentral's name for it is "23S ribosomal RNA". It matches the Rfam family "Bacterial large subunit ribosomal RNA". The record is from RNAcentral. Lineage: Bacteria; Bacillati; Bacillota; Clostridia; Eubacteriales; Clostridiaceae.